AUUGAACGCUGGCGGCAUGCCUUACACAUGCAAGUCGAACGGCAGCACGGGAGCAAUCCUGGUGGCGAGUGGCGAACGGGUGAGUAAUACAUCGGAAUGUACCCAGUAAUGGGGGAUAACGCUUCGAAAGGAGUGCUAAUACCGCAUACGCCCUGAGGGGGAAAGUGGGGGACCGCAAGGCCUCACGUUAUUGGAGCAGCCGAUGGCUGAUUAGCUAGUUGGUGAGGUAAAGGCUCACCAAGGCGACGAUCAGUAGCGGGUCUUAGAGGACGACCAGCCACACUGGAACUGAGACACGGUCCAGACUCCUACGGGAGGCAGCAGUGGGGAAUUUUGGACAAUGGACGCAAGUCUGAUCCAGCCAUUCCGCGUGCAGGAUGAAGGCCCUCGGGUUGUAAACUGCUUUUGUACGGACGAAAGGUUUCUAUUAAUACUAGGAGCUCAUGACGGUACCGUAAGAAUAAGCACCGGCUAACUACGUGCCAGCAGCCGCGG
This 495-nucleotide ribosomal RNA is filed under the name uncultured bacterium. Its description in RNAcentral is "bacterial SSU rRNA". It matches the Rfam family "Bacterial small subunit ribosomal RNA", at positions 30 to 520 of the family's 1533-position model. The record is from RNAcentral.